This 447-nucleotide ribosomal RNA is filed under the name uncultured bacterium. RNAcentral's name for it is "bacterial SSU rRNA". It matches the Rfam family "Bacterial small subunit ribosomal RNA", at positions 355 to 825 of the family's 1533-position model. The record is from RNAcentral.
UCGGGAAUUUUGGGCAAUGGGCGAAAGCCUGACCCAGCAACGCCGCGUGAAGGAUGAAGUAUUUCGGUAUGUAAACUUCGAAAGAAUAGGAAGAAUAAAUGACGGUACUAUUUGUAAGGUCCGGCUAACUACGUGCCAGCAGCCGCGGUAAUACGUAGGGACCAAGCGUUGUUCGGAUUUACUGGGCGUAAAGGGUGCGUAGGCGGCAUAUCAAGUCACUUGUGAAAUCUCCGGGCUUAACUCGGAACUGCCAAGUGAUACUGAUGUGCUAGAGUGCAGAAAGGGCAACUGGAAUUCUUGGUGUAGCGGUGAAAUGCGUAGAUAUCAAGAGGAACACCUGAGGCGAAGGCGAGUUGCUAGGCUGACACUGACGCUGAGGUACGAAAGCUAGGGGAGCGAACGGGAUUAGAUACCCCAGUAGUCCCUGAGCGGGCUGGCAAGGCGCAU